AGUCGAGCGGAGAUUUGAAAAGCUUGCUUUUCAAAUCUUAGCGGCGGACGGGUGAGUAACACGUGGGCAACCUGCCCUUGAGACGGGGAUAACUCCGGGAAACCGGAGCUAAUACCGGAUAACACAUAUCUUCGCAUGAUGAUAUGUUAGAAGGUGGCUUUUAGCUACCACUCAAGGAUGGGCCCGCGGCGCAUUAGCUAGUUGGUGAGGUAACGGCUCACCAAGGCGACGAUGCGUAGCCGACCUGAGAGGGUGAUCGGCCACACUGGGACUGAGACACGGCCCAGACUCCUACGGGAGGCAGCAGUAGGGAAUCUUCCGCAAUGGACGAAAGUCUGACGGAGCAACGCCGCGUGAGUGAUGAAGGUUUUCGGAUCGUAAAGCUCUGUUGUUAGGGAAGAACAAGUAUCUGUUGAAUAAGCAGGUACCUUGACGGUACCUAACCAGAAAGCCACGGCUAACUACGUGCCAGCAGCCGCGGUAAUACGUAGGUGGCAAGCGUUGUCCGGAAUUAUUGGGCGUAAAGCGCGCGCAGGCGGUUCCUUAAGUCUGAUGUGAAAGCCCACGGCUCAACCGUGGAGGGUCAUUGGAAACUGGGGAACUUGAGUGCAGAAGAGGAGAGCGGAAUUCCACGUGUAGCGGUGAAAUGCGUAGAGAUGUGGAGGAACACCAGUGGCGAAGGCGGCUCUCUGGUCUGUAACUGACGCUGAGGCGCGAAAGCGUGGGGAGCGAACAGGAUUAGAUACCCUGGUAGUCCACGCCGUAAACGAUGAGUGCUAAGUGUUAGAGGGUUUCCGCCCUUUAGUGCUGCAGC
RNAcentral lists this ribosomal RNA (814 nucleotides) under Bacillus sp. (in: firmicutes). Its description in RNAcentral is "bacterial SSU rRNA". It matches the Rfam family "Bacterial small subunit ribosomal RNA", at positions 60 to 852 of the family's 1533-position model. The record is from RNAcentral. Lineage: Bacteria; Bacillati; Bacillota; Bacilli; Caryophanales; Bacillaceae.